GACGAACGCUGGCGGCGUGCUUAACACAUGCAAGUCGAACGGUAAGGCCCUUCGGGUACGACGAGUGGCGAACGGGUGAGUAACACGUGGGUGAUCUGCCCUGUACUUCGGGAUAAGCCUGGGAAACUGGGUCUACUACCGGAUAUGACCAAGGACUGCAUGGUUUUUGGUUGGAAAGCCUGUGUUGUAAUAGGCACUGUGCGGUACAGGUUGGGCCCGCGGCCUAUCAGCUUGUUGGUGGGGAAGUGGCCUACCAAGGCGGCGACGGGUAGCCGGCCUGAGAGGGC
RNAcentral lists this ribosomal RNA (287 nucleotides) under uncultured bacterium. Its description in RNAcentral is "partial 16S ribosomal RNA". It matches the Rfam family "Bacterial small subunit ribosomal RNA", at positions 28 to 301 of the family's 1533-position model. The record is from RNAcentral.